RNAcentral lists this long non-coding RNA (882 nucleotides) under Setaria viridis. RNAcentral's name for it is "long non-coding RNA (SVIR_LNC007309)". Lineage: Eukaryota; Viridiplantae; Streptophyta; Magnoliopsida; Poales; Poaceae. The record is from RNAcentral.
UAGUACAAAUACAGUAGCAGUGGACAAGAACAACAACAAUGUCAUAGUCCCUCACAAGCUCAAGGUCAUCUGAUGGUACCCAUCUACUUUUAAUUGGGUAAAUAUUCCAAUCAUCAUAGGCAUAGGUUCUUACCUUGAAUAACAUAUGUUACCAUCAAGUCAGAACAUGUAUGCAAGAUCAAAAAAAAUGGUAUCACCAGGUAGUCAACCAACAGGAAAGCUCAAUUAACUAGAACAAAGACAUGUCAUCCAUCACAAAGACAAGGUGCAGGUGUUCAUGUUUACACACCCAACAUAUCCCUCCCAAUCACCUCUACAAAGUGGAACCAUGUGUCCUAUUCUAUACAAAAAUAUAUGCAGCCUUGGAUAAGCUCCAAAUGGUGUCUCUACCCUCACCAUUAGUGGUUAGUGCUAACCCAAAAUGUCAGACUAUAGCAUAGGCAAGCAAAAUAUCAGAUGGCAGUCCUUAAGCACCUAGAGGAAGUUGGCUUGGCUCAGGUAGGUCCUAAGCCAAAGGAUCCUAUGGGCUUCACUCAUCUGAACAAAGCAUAGGCCUUCUGCUUUGUUCUUCAGCAAGUACACAAGUGCAAACAUCAGGGCCUCCUGUGAGUACCCAGGACAGGACAUGACACAACCAUAAAGAUCCUCAUGGACCUCAUUGUGCUGAGGAGCCUUGAGGGCAUCUGCAACAGAGGCAACAACAACAGUCAUACCAUGCAUCAACUGGUAUUCUUCCUCACACAACUUCCUCCUUUUACCACCUCUUCCUUCCUUAUCAUCAGAACCCUUAGAGGUGUCCAGCCCAUUGGAGGCUGCAUUUUGCUUACCAAAAUCAUCCUCAUUCCCAUCUAAAUUAAUUGUCUCUGAUCUAACAUCUCCCCC